GACGAACCGUGCAAACGUUGUUCGGAAUCACUGGGCUUAAAGGGCGCGUAGGCGGGCCAGCCAGUCUGUGGUGAAAGCCUCCAGCUUAACUGGAGAAGUGCCGUGGAUACUGCUGGCCUCGAGGAGGAUAGGGGCAUCUGGAACGGUCGGUGGAGCGGUGAAAUGCGUUGAUAUCGACCGGAACGCCGGUGGCGAAGGCGAGGUGCUGGGUCCUUUCUGACGCUGAUGCGCGAAAGCCAGGGGAGCAAACGGG
This 253-nucleotide ribosomal RNA is filed under the name uncultured bacterium. RNAcentral describes it as "partial 16S ribosomal RNA". It matches the Rfam family "Bacterial small subunit ribosomal RNA", at positions 524 to 776 of the family's 1533-position model. The record is from RNAcentral.